AUAACCUGGAGGAAGGUGGGGAUGACGUCAAAUCAUCAUGCCCCUUAUGCUUAGGGCUACACACGUGCUACAAUGGGUAGUACAGAGGGUUGCCAAGCCGUAAGGUGGAGCUAAUCCCUUAAAGCUACUCUCAGUUCGGAUUGUAGGCUGAAACUCGCCUACAUGAAGCUGGAGUUACUAGUAAUCGCAGAUCAGAAUGCUGCGGUGAAUGCGUUCCCGGGUCUUGUACACACCGCCCGUCACACCACGGGAGUUGGAGACGCCCGAAGCCGAUUAUCUAACCAUUUGGAAGAAGUCGUCGAAGGUGGAAUCAAUAACUGGGGUGAAGUCGUAACAAGGUAGCCGUAUCGGAAGGUGCGGCUGGAUCACCUCCUUUCUAAGGAGA
RNAcentral lists this ribosomal RNA (385 nucleotides) under Clostridioides difficile. RNAcentral's name for it is "bacterial SSU rRNA". It matches the Rfam family "Bacterial small subunit ribosomal RNA", at positions 1158 to 1533 of the family's 1533-position model. The record is from RNAcentral. Lineage: Bacteria; Bacillati; Bacillota; Clostridia; Peptostreptococcales; Peptostreptococcaceae.